RNAcentral lists this transfer RNA (74 nucleotides) under Parcubacteria group bacterium CG1_02_42_13. RNAcentral describes it as "tRNA-Ala". It matches the Rfam family "tRNA". Rfam says of the family: Transfer RNA (tRNA) molecules are approximately 80 nucleotides in length. The record is from RNAcentral.
GGGCCUAUGGUUCAGUGGUAAAACACCUCAUUUGCAAUGAGGAGUCGGCAGUUCGAUUCUGCCUAGGUCCACAA